AUUGAACGCUGGCGGCAUGCCUUACACAUGCAAGUCGAACGGUAACGCGGGGCAACCUGGCGACGAGUGGCGAACGGGUGAGUAAUGCAUCGGAACGUACCCAGUAGUGGGGGAUAGCCCGGCGAAAGCCGGAUUAAUACCGCAUACGACCUACGGGUGAAAGGGGGGAGUCGCAAGACCUCUCGCUAUUGGAGCGGCCGAUGUCAGAUUAGGUAGUUGGUGGGGUAAAGACCUACCAAGCCUGUGAUCUGUAGCUGGUCUGAGAGGACGACCAGCCACACUGGGACUGAGACACGGCCCAGACUCCUACGGGAGGCAGCAGUGGGGAAUUUUGGACAAUGGGCGCAAGCCUGAUCCAGCAAUGCCGCGUGCGGGAAGAAGGCCUCGGUGUAACGAC
This 397-nucleotide ribosomal RNA is filed under the name uncultured bacterium. RNAcentral's name for it is "bacterial SSU rRNA". It matches the Rfam family "Bacterial small subunit ribosomal RNA", at positions 29 to 430 of the family's 1533-position model. The record is from RNAcentral.